Molecule: ribosomal RNA, 425 nt
Filed under: uncultured bacterium
Lineage: Bacteria
Description: bacterial SSU rRNA
Rfam family: Bacterial small subunit ribosomal RNA
Source: RNAcentral
AGGGAAUCUUCCACAAUGGACGAAAGUCUGAUGGAGCAACGCCGCGUGAGUGAUGAAGGUUUUCGGAUCGUAAAACUCUGUUGUAAGGGAAGAACAAGUGCGUUAGGUAAUGAACGCGCCUUGACGGUACCUUAUUAGAAAGCCACGGCUAACUACGUGCCAGCAGCCGCGGUAAUACGUAGGUGGCAAGCGUUGUCCGGAUUUAUUGGGCGUAGAGCGCGCGCAGGUGGUUUCUUAAGUCUGAUGUGAAAGCCCACGGCUCAACCGUGGAGGGUCAUUGGAAACUGGGGAACUUGAGUGCAGAAGAGGAUAGUGGAAUUCCAAGUGUAGCGGUGAAAUGCGUAGAGAUUUGGAGGAACACCAGUGGCGAAGGCGACUGUCUGGUCUGUAACUGACACUGAGGCGCGAAAGCGUGGGGAGCAAAC